RNAcentral lists this ribosomal RNA (255 nucleotides) under uncultured bacterium. Its description in RNAcentral is "partial small subunit ribosomal RNA". It matches the Rfam family "Bacterial small subunit ribosomal RNA", at positions 26 to 285 of the family's 1533-position model. The record is from RNAcentral.
AGGACGAACGCUGGCGGCGUGCUUAACACAUGCAAGUCGAACGGAAAGGCCCUUCGGGGUACUCGAGUGGCGAACGGGUGAGUAACACGUGGGUGAUCUGCCCUGCACUUCGGGAUAAGCCUGGGAAACUGGGUCUAAUACCGGAUAUACCUCAUGGGAUGCAUGUUUUGUGGGGAAAGCUUUUGCGGUGUGGGAUGGGCCCGCGGCCUAUCAGCUUGUUGGUGGGGUGAUGGCCUACCAAGGCGUCGACGGGUA